Molecule: ribosomal RNA, 173 nt
Filed under: uncultured bacterium
Lineage: Bacteria
Description: partial 16S ribosomal RNA
Rfam family: Bacterial small subunit ribosomal RNA
Source: RNAcentral
ACUCCUACGGGAGGCAGCAGUAGGGAAUCUUGCGCAAUGGGCGAAAGCCUGACGCAGCCAUGCCGCGUGAAUGAUGAAGGUCUUAGGAUUGUAAAAUUCUUUCACCGGGGACGAUAAUGACGGUACCCGGAGAAGAAGCCCCGGCUAACUUCGUGCCAGCAGCCGCGGUAAUA